Athene cunicularia (burrowing owl) is the source of this 1075-nucleotide non-coding RNA. The record is from the annotation of a RefSeq genome assembly. NCBI's taxonomy places the organism in Eukaryota, Metazoa, Chordata, Aves, Strigiformes, Strigidae.
AUGGUUGUCCACUUGUUCAUUGUGGCCAUCUUGGCCCCUGUGGGCCAAGCUCUUCAGCAAUCAUCAGACACAGUUGUGCAAGUGGGAGACUCUGUGACUCUGACCUGUUCUGAAAAGGAGAGUGUAUUUGCAAGCAUGUACUGGUACAAGUUGCCCAUGGGGAAGGAUGCUACUCUUCAGCUAGUUGUAUACUCUGUCGAAGGUGGCAUGGCAGAGAUUGAGAAGGAAUUCAGAAACCACUUUAAGAGUAAUGGGACUAAGAGCAACCGCUUAUCUGUGGAGAUAGACCAUGCCCUACUCAAUGACUCAGGGACAUAUUUCUGUUCUAAUCAAAACCCACAUGUGAAUAGUGAAAGACUGUACUUUGGCAGUGGAACAAAACUCACAGUCCUAGGGAAGAAUGAUAAAAUUACACCUCCAACUGUGGCCAUCUUUUCCCCAUCAAAGCAAGAGAUCCAACAGAAGAGCAAGGCCACACUGGUAUGCCUGGCCUCUGGUUUCUAUCCUGACCACAUGAAACUAUUCUGGAAGGUGAAUGGUGCUGAAAGAACAGAAGGGGUGGGGACAGAUGAGUUUUCCACACAGAAUGAAGGUACCUACUCAUUGACCAGCCGACUGAGGAUCUCAGCCCAGGAAUGGUUCAACCCUUUGAAUCGUUUUGAGUGUGUUGCAACUUUUUUUAAGAAUGGAACACUGGAAUCGAUAAACAAAUUCAUCUAUGGUGAUGCUGGUUGUGCACUCACGGAAGAGUCCUACUUGAGGUAUGGAAAUUCUCUGAAGCUCACUUACCUCAUUCUCUGUGGCAAAGCUUUGCUCUAUGCAGUUUUCGUGAGCAGUCUGGUGUGGACAGCCAAGGCAGGUGGCAAGUUAUAUAGAGAAUAAAGGAAGAGUGCUUUUCAUCACAUCAUCCGUAACAUAUCAAAUUAUACUUUCUACUUUUCCUUAGCAAAGGAUCUAUGCUUCUGUCUAAGAACUUCUGAAUAUUAUUUCUUGGUGAUUCUCUGUCACCCUCCUAUUCUUUCCACAUUGUUAUAAUCAAUGAUGGGUUUUCCUUGCACUUCCAUAUCAUAUUGUA